This 57-nucleotide transfer RNA is filed under the name Loxodonta africana (African savanna elephant). It matches the Rfam family "tRNA", at positions 8 to 63 of the family's 71-position model. Rfam says of the family: Transfer RNA (tRNA) molecules are approximately 80 nucleotides in length. Their secondary structure includes four short double-helical elements and three loops (D, anti-codon, and T loops). Lineage: Eukaryota; Metazoa; Chordata; Mammalia; Proboscidea; Elephantidae. The record is from Rfam by way of RNAcentral.
UGGCACAAUGGUUAAGAGCUUGGCUGCUAACCAAAAGAUUGGUGGUUCAAAUCCACC